AUCUACGGCCAUGCCAUCCUGAACAAGCCUGAUGUCUGAUCUUGGAAGCUAAGCAGGGUCGAGCCUGGUUAGUUCUUGGAUGGGAAACCACCUAGGAAGAUCAGGUGCUACAGGCA
Non-coding RNA from Pteropus alecto (black flying fox), 116 nucleotides. NCBI's taxonomy places the organism in Eukaryota, Metazoa, Chordata, Mammalia, Chiroptera, Pteropodidae. The record is from Rfam.